Molecule: non-coding RNA, 52 nt
Filed under: Trypanosoma brucei brucei
Lineage: Eukaryota; Euglenozoa; Kinetoplastea; Trypanosomatida; Trypanosomatidae
Source: RNAcentral
AAAUACAAAACUAGAUGAAUGACAGAAACGAUGAGAGAUUUAUAAUUAAUUU